Molecule: small nuclear RNA, 161 nt
Filed under: Helianthus annuus (common sunflower)
Lineage: Eukaryota; Viridiplantae; Streptophyta; Magnoliopsida; Asterales; Asteraceae
Description: U1 spliceosomal RNA
Rfam family: U1 spliceosomal RNA
About the family: U1 is a small nuclear RNA (snRNA) component of the spliceosome (involved in pre-mRNA splicing). Its 5' end forms complementary base pairs with the 5' splice junction, thus defining the 5' donor site of an intron. There are significant differences in sequence and secondary structure between metazoan and yeast U1 snRNAs, the latter being much longer (568 nucleotides as compared to 164 nucleotides in human).
Source: RNAcentral
UCACUUACCUGGACGGGGUCAAUGGGUGAUCAAGAAGGUCCAUGGCCUAGGUUGGUGACCUCCAUUGCACUUAGGAGGGGUGCCCGCCUAAGGUCGGCCCAAGUGGUCGAGCCUACGUCAUAAUUUGUGGCAGUGGGGGCUUGCGUUCGCGCAGCCCCCGC